RNAcentral lists this ribosomal RNA (256 nucleotides) under uncultured bacterium. Its description in RNAcentral is "partial 16S ribosomal RNA". It matches the Rfam family "Bacterial small subunit ribosomal RNA", at positions 99 to 354 of the family's 1533-position model. The record is from RNAcentral.
CGGACGGGUGGAGUAACGCGUGGAAAACCUGCCGUAUACUGGGGGAUAACACUUAGAAAUAGGUGCUAAUACCGCAUAAGCGCACAGCUUCGCAUGAAGCGGUGUGAAAAACUCUGGUGGUAUACGAUGGUUCCGCGUCUGAUUAGCUAGUUGGUGGGGUAAUGGCCUACCAAGGCAACGAUCAGUAGCCGGCCUGAGAGGGUGAACGGCCACAUUGGGACUGAGACACGGCCCAAACUCCUACGGAAGGCAGCAG